CCUUCGAUAGCUCAGUUGGUAGAGCGGUGGACUGUAGCGAGUUUGGGGGUCGAUCAUCUGUUACAAUGCAUUUCAAAGUGCAUCUGAUGACCACCUGCAUCCAAUAGAAAUCCAUAGGUCACUGGUUCAACUCCGGUUCGAAGGA
Non-coding RNA from Anopheles quadriannulatus, 145 nucleotides. The record is from Rfam. Lineage: Eukaryota; Metazoa; Arthropoda; Insecta; Diptera; Culicidae.